CCUUGGAGCCCGGCUGCUCCGUGGUCCCUGGAGUAGGUUGCCUGUGAGGUGUUCACUUUCUAUAUGAUGAAUAUUAUACAGUCAACCUCUUUCCGGUAUCGAAUUCC
RNAcentral lists this microRNA precursor (107 nucleotides) under Dasypus novemcinctus (nine-banded armadillo). The record is from RNAcentral. Lineage: Eukaryota; Metazoa; Chordata; Mammalia; Cingulata; Dasypodidae.